Molecule: long non-coding RNA, 1000 nt
Filed under: Sus scrofa (pig)
Lineage: Eukaryota; Metazoa; Chordata; Mammalia; Artiodactyla; Suidae
Description: lncRNA (ENSSSCG00025062188.1, ENSSSCG00055023940.1)
Source: RNAcentral
CAUUAGGAACACUGACAGGGUAACUGGAGUGUCCUCUGAUCCGUGACCAUGCCAUUAUUCCCCAUCUUUUAGGGCUUCUGUAAUUUCGUCCAGCAGUGGUCUUGUGUGUGUCUUUUCCUAGACUUACUCUUGAGUGUCGUGUUUGGUGUUGCUAUUGUAGGCGGGGUAUUUUUGUUCUGUUUCCCAGCUCUCUGCUCCCGGGAUAGCAUACAGUUGAUUUUUGUAUGCCAGCCAUUAUCCAGUGGCCUUGCUGAGCUCCCUAUGGGGUCUCAGGAAGUUUCCACAAAGCUCCAAAAACCACUGUCCCAUCACCUGCAAAGGAACUCAUUGUCUACCUCUUUCCUUCCACUCGUAGGCCGGUCAUUUACGUUUCUUCGGGCACAGCUGGAACUUCCCAUAAUUUACAGAAGCACGUGAGGCCAGUAGCUCCCUCACGUUGGUCUCAGUCUCUGGGAAGGUGGUACUAUUUCACCUCUCGCUGUGGUGUUGGCUCUGGCUGGUUUUUUAAUUGGUAUUUUUUCACAGAUUCGGGGUUAGGGCCCACACGCCAAGGCAGCUCGACCAGGCGCCUGAGGAGGUGAGAGCCAUGGGCCUCAGGGACUCGCCCCUGAGGGUCCAGCGAUCGCAUUCAUUCCUUCGCAUCUCAGCAGGUCCUAGGCAAGCUCCUAGACGUGCUCUGCAGUGGAUGCAGGAAACGGCUCCUUCAGUAACAGGUGGCAUUUUAUUCUCCAUCUGCCUGCUUUUUGGCUUUCUUCUGUUACCAGUGUUUUUGCUUUAUUUUUGUUUUAUGUCAGAAAGAAGCCGUUCGGCAAACGCGUAACUUAGCGUCGGCGUCUUUCUUGAGUAACAGUCUUUACAUGUUCUAUCCUGUGAGAUUCCAGACCCUUGAAAUCAUUUAAUAAGUAGAAUGUUUUUCUUCCUGCAAAUAUAUCCCCUUAAAUGUUUAUUCUAGCAUAAAAGCUUUCCUAUGGCAUCAAAUAAACACCAUAGAAUAAUUUCA